Molecule: ribosomal RNA, 490 nt
Filed under: uncultured bacterium
Lineage: Bacteria
Description: partial 16S ribosomal RNA
Rfam family: Bacterial small subunit ribosomal RNA
Source: RNAcentral
AUUGAACGCUGGCGGCAGGCCUAACACAUUCAAGUCGAACGGUAACAGGAAACAGCUUGCUGUUUCGCUGACGAGUGGCGGACGGGUGAGUAAUGUCUGGGAAACUGCCUGAUGGAGGGGGAUAACUACUGGAAACGGUAGCUAAUACCGCAUAACGUCGCAAGACCAAAGAGGGGGACCCUCGGGCCUCUUGCCAUCGGAUGUGCCCAGAUGGGAUUAGCUUGUUGGUGGGGUAACGGCUCACCAAGGCGACGAUCCCUAGCUGGUCUGAGAGGAUGACCAGCCACACUGGAACUGAGACACGGUCCAGACUCCUACGGGAGGCAGCAGUGGGGAAUAUUGCACAAUGGGCGCAAGCCUGAUGCAGCCAUGCCGCGUGUAUGAAGAAGGCCUUCGGGUUGUAAAGUACUUUCAGCGGGGAGGAAGGGAGUAAAGUUAAUACCUUUGCUCAUUGACGUUACCCGCAGAAGAAGCACCGGCUAACUCCGUG